AUGAGGUCAGUUAGCUACGUGCAGCGCGUGGCGCUGGAGUUCAGCGGGAGCCUCUUCCCGCACGCAAUCUGCCUGGGCGACGUUGAUAACGAUACGUUAAAUGAACUGGUGGUGGGAGACACCAGCGGGAAGGUGUCUGUGUAUAAAAAUGAUGACAGUCGGCCAUGGCUCACCUGUUCCUGCCAGGGAAUGCUGACUUGCGUUGGGGUUGGAGACGUAUGUAAUAAAGGAAAGAACCUGUUGGUGGCAGUGAGUGCCGAAGGCUGGUUUCAUUUGUUUGACCUGACACCUGCCAAGGUGUUGGAUGCUUCUGGGCACCACGAGACACUAAUCGGAGAGGAGCAGCGUCCAGUCUUCAAGCAGCACAUCCCUGCCAACACCAAGGUCAUGCUGAUCAGCGACAUCGGUGGGCAUGCCUACCUUUGCAGGCAGCCAGGAGAGUAGGAGUCAGUGGAUACUAGAGCAGAUCCCAAGGGAUUGGGGUGAAGGGAGAAUCUGUAUUCAUUUAUGCAUUUGUUAUGUACUGAGCUCCCAUGAUAAGCCAGGCAUCACUGAAGGCACUGGAAUUGCCGUAGUGAAUAAAUAG
RNAcentral lists this small RNA (586 nucleotides) under Pongo abelii (Sumatran orangutan). RNAcentral describes it as "retained intron". The record is from RNAcentral. Lineage: Eukaryota; Metazoa; Chordata; Mammalia; Primates; Hominidae.